RNAcentral lists this ribosomal RNA (274 nucleotides) under uncultured bacterium. RNAcentral describes it as "partial 16S ribosomal RNA". It matches the Rfam family "Bacterial small subunit ribosomal RNA", at positions 523 to 796 of the family's 1533-position model. The record is from RNAcentral.
AUACGGAGGGUGCAAGCGUUAUCCGGAAUCAUUGGAUUUAAAGGGUCCGCAGGCGGACUAAUAAGUCAGUGGUGAAAUCCUCUCGCUUAACGAGAGAACUGCCAUUGAAACUGUUAGUCUUGAAUUCGGUCGAAGUAGGCGGAAUGUGUCAUGUAGCGGUGAAAUGCAUAGAUAUGACACAGAACACCGAUAGCGAAGGCAGCUUACUAGACCUGGAUUGACGCUCAUGGACGAAAGCGUGGGGAGCGAACAGGAUUAGAAACCCCAGUAGUCC